RNAcentral lists this ribosomal RNA (440 nucleotides) under uncultured bacterium. RNAcentral describes it as "partial 16S ribosomal RNA". It matches the Rfam family "Bacterial small subunit ribosomal RNA", at positions 338 to 795 of the family's 1533-position model. The record is from RNAcentral.
CCUACGGGUGGCAGCAGUGGGGAAUAUUGCACAAUGGGGGAAACCCUGAUGCAGCGACGCCGCGUGAGUGAAGGAGUAUCUCGGUAUGUAAAGCUCUAUCAGCAGGGAAGAAAAUGACGGUACCUGACUAAGAAGCCCCGGCUAACUACGUGCCAGCAGCCGCGGUAAUACGUAGGGGGCAAGCGUUAUCCGGAUUUACUGGGUGUAAAGGGAGCGUAGACGGCGGCGCAAGUCUGAUGUGAAAGGGCGGGGCGAAACCCCGGGACUGCAUUGGAAACUGUUCGACUGGAGUACAGGAGGGGUAAGCGGAAUUCUCAGUGUAGCGGUGAAAUGCGUAGAGAUUAGGAGGAACACCCGUGGCGAAGGCGGCUUACUGGACUGUAACUGACGUUGAGGCUCGAAGGCGUGGGGAGCAAACAGGAUUAGAUACCCGAGUAGUC